RNAcentral lists this transfer RNA (77 nucleotides) under Clostridium sp. RNAcentral's name for it is "tRNA-Met". It matches the Rfam family "tRNA". Rfam says of the family: Transfer RNA (tRNA) molecules are approximately 80 nucleotides in length. The record is from RNAcentral. RNAcentral also lists the same sequence under 9 other names. Lineage: Bacteria; Bacillati; Bacillota; Clostridia; Eubacteriales; Clostridiaceae.
CGCGGGGUGGAGCAGUCUGGUAGCUCGUCGGGCUCAUAACCCGAAGGUCGUUGGUUCAAAUCCUUCCCCCGCAACCA